CUCUUUGCUUUUUGUAUUGCUAUUGUUCC
RNAcentral lists this non-coding RNA (29 nucleotides) under Rattus norvegicus (Norway rat). The record is from RNAcentral. Lineage: Eukaryota; Metazoa; Chordata; Mammalia; Rodentia; Muridae.